UACGGAGGAUGCGAGCGUUAUCCGGAUUUAUUGGGUUUAAAGGGUGCGUAGGCGGACUGUCAAGUCAGCGGUAAAAUUGAGAGGCUCAACCUCUUCCCGCCAUUGAAACUGGCGACCUUGAGUGGAAGAGAAGUAUGCGGAAUGCGUGGUGUAGCGGUGAAAUGCAUAGAUAUCACGCAGAACCCCGAUUGCGAAGGCAGCAUGCCGGCUUCCUACUGACGCUGAAGCACGAAAGCGUGGGGAUCGAACAGG
This 252-nucleotide ribosomal RNA is filed under the name uncultured bacterium. RNAcentral describes it as "partial 16S ribosomal RNA". It matches the Rfam family "Bacterial small subunit ribosomal RNA", at positions 524 to 776 of the family's 1533-position model. The record is from RNAcentral.